GACGAACGCUGGCGGCGUGCUUAACACAUGCAAGUCGAACGGAAAGGCGCUGCUCUUGCGGGGUGCUCGAGUGGCGAACGGGUGAGUAUCACGUGUGUAUCCUGCACCUGUCUUUGGGAUAUCUUCAGGAAACUGCGGCUAAUACCGGAUAGGAUCUUCUGCUGCACGGUGGGGGUUGGAAAGUUUCGGCGGUUGGGGAUGGACUCGCGGCUUAUCAGCUUGUUUGUGUGGUAGUGGCUUACCACGGCUACGACGGGUAGCCGGCCUGGGAGGUUGACCGGCCACAUUGGUCCUGAGAUACGGACCAGACUCCUACGGGACGCAGCAGUGGGGAAUAUUACACAAUGGCCGGAAGCCUGAUGCAGCAACGCCGCGUGCGGGAUGACGGCCUUCGGGUUGUAAACCGCUUUCGCCUGUGCCGAAGCGUGAGUGACGGUACUGGGUAAAGAAGCACCGGCUAACUACGUG
RNAcentral lists this ribosomal RNA (468 nucleotides) under uncultured bacterium. RNAcentral describes it as "partial 16S ribosomal RNA". It matches the Rfam family "Bacterial small subunit ribosomal RNA", at positions 28 to 507 of the family's 1533-position model. The record is from RNAcentral.